GACAUUCUGCAGGACAUGGGGAGAACCGACUGUUGAACUUUGCUAAAAGAUGAAACAAUCCUUCAAAUUUCCUGCUUCACAAAAAGUCUGCCAGAGACUGUAGGCCUGUAGGCUGAAGAUGGUUGCCUCAGCAUUGCAGAAGAACAUUAACAGACUGUCCAGGCUGCCAGAUGUCUCUGUCAUAUCUAGAAUUUUGGAAUUUGUUUACAAUGCCCUCCCCAUUUACUUAGAAGCAUACUGACGAGGACAUGUGAAGAGUGUCAUUUCCUGCUGACUCAGAUACAGGAUACAGAACCAGAAUUGUGAAGUUUGGCUUUCAUCAGAAAUACCAGAACAUGGGACAAGGAUGGUGUUUCCCAGUGAAAAGACUGUGCACCGUGACUGUAUUUAUUCCGUGGCCAUCUACGGUUUCCACCACACACCUCCUAGUGAAAUUUUUAUGAGAAACAGGCACUACCUUUGCUGAUCUGCGGAGUAGGUCAUCCAUGUUUGCUGCUAUGAUAAUUGGUAUGUC
Long non-coding RNA from Peromyscus maniculatus bairdii (prairie deer mouse), 514 nucleotides. RefSeq lists it as uncharacterized. The record is from RefSeq and is a predicted model, not a curated record. Lineage: Eukaryota; Metazoa; Chordata; Mammalia; Rodentia; Cricetidae.